AGCAUAUCAAUAAGCGGAGGAAAAGAAACCAACAGGGAUUGCCCUAGUAACGGCGAGUGAAGCGGCAACAGCUCAAAUUUGAAAUCUGGCGCAAGCCCGAGUUGUAAUUUGUAGAGGAUGCUUCUGGGCAGCGGCCGGUCUAAGUUCCUUGGAACAGGACGUCAUAGAGGGUGAGAAUCCCGUAUGCGACCGGUUGGCACCCGUCACGUAGCUCCUUCGACGAGUCGAGUUGUUUGGGAAUGCAGCUCUAAAUGGGAGGUAAAUGCCUUCUAAAGCUAAAUACCGGCCAGAGACCGAUAGCGCACAAGUAGAGUGAUCGAAAGAUGAAAAGCACUUUGGAAAGAGAGUUAAAAAGCACGUGAAAUUGUUGAAAGGGAAGCGCAUGCAACCAGACUUGUCGGCGGUGUUCCGCCGGUCUUCUGACCGGUCUACUCGCCGUCGACAGGCCAGCAUCAUCUGGGAGCGCCGGAUAAAGGCGCGGGGAAUGUGGCUCCUCGGAGUGUUAUAGCCCCGCGUGCAAUACGGCGCCUCCCGGGUGAGGUCCGCGCUUCGGCUAGGAUGCUGGCGUAAUGGUUGUCUGCGGCCCGUCUUGAAACACGGACCAAGGAGUCUAACAUCUGUGCGAGUGUUCGGGUGUCAAACCCCUACGCGUAAUGAAAGUGAACGGAGGUGGGAACCUUAGGGUGCACCAUCGACCGAUCCUGAUGUCCUCGGAUGGAUUUGAGUAAGAGCAUAGCUGUUGGGACCCGAAAGAUGGUGAACUAUGCCUGAAUAGGGUGAAGCCAGAGGAAACUCUGGUGGAGGCUCGCAGCGGUUCUGACGUGCAAAUCGAUCGUCAAAUUUGGGUAUAGGGGCGAAAGACUAAUCGAACCAUCUAGUAGCUGGUUCUGCA
RNAcentral lists this ribosomal RNA (892 nucleotides) under Placidiopsis poronioides. Its description in RNAcentral is "LSU rRNA". It matches the Rfam family "Eukaryotic large subunit ribosomal RNA", at positions 37 to 961 of the family's 3401-position model. Lineage: Eukaryota; Fungi; Ascomycota; Eurotiomycetes; Verrucariales; Verrucariaceae. The record is from RNAcentral.